UACGAAGGGGGCUAGCGUUGUUCGGAAUCACUGGGCGUAAAGCGCACGCAGGCGGAUCGUUAAGUCAGGGGUGAAAUCCCGAGGCUCAACCUCGGAACUGCCUUUGAUACUGGCGAUCUUUGAGUCCGGGAGAGGUGAGUGGAACUCCGAGUGUAGAGGUGAAAUUCGUAGAUAUUGGGAAGAACGCCGGUGGCGAAGGCGGCGACCUGGUCCGACACUGACGCUGAGGCGCGAAAGCGUGGGGAGCAAACAGG
Molecule: ribosomal RNA, 254 nt
Filed under: uncultured bacterium
Lineage: Bacteria
Description: partial 16S ribosomal RNA
Rfam family: Bacterial small subunit ribosomal RNA
Source: RNAcentral